RNAcentral lists this ribosomal RNA (253 nucleotides) under uncultured bacterium. RNAcentral describes it as "partial 16S ribosomal RNA". It matches the Rfam family "Bacterial small subunit ribosomal RNA", at positions 524 to 776 of the family's 1533-position model. The record is from RNAcentral.
GACAGAGGGUGCAAACGUUGUUCGGAAUUACUGGGCAUAAAGAGCACGUAGGUGGUCUGCUAAGUCGUGUGUGAAAUCCCCCGGCUCAACCGGGGAAUAGCGCUCGAUACUGGCAGGCUCGAGGUGGGUAGGGGUGAGCGGAACUCCAGGUGGAGCGGUGAAAUGCGUAGAUAUCUGGAGGAACACCGGUGGCGAAAGCGGCUCACUGGACCCAAUCUGACACUGAGGUGCGAAAGCUAGGGUAGCAAACGGG